UAGGGAAUAUUGGACAAUGGGUGAGAGCCUGAUCCAGCCAUGCCGCGUGCAGGAAGAAGGCGUUAUGCGUUGUAAACUGCUUUUUGCCAGGGGAUAAAAUGAGCGUGCGCGCUUAAUUGAAGGUACCUGGUGAAUAAGCCACGGCUAACUACGUGCCAGCAGCCGCGGUAAUACGUAGGUGGCAAGCGUUGUCCGGAUUUAUUGGGUUUAAAGGGUGCGUAGGUGGCCCUGUAAGUCAGUGGUGAAAUAUCUCAGCUUAACUGAGAGGGUGCCAUUGAUACUGCAGGGCUUGAGUACAGAUGAGGUAGGCGGAAUUGACGGUGUAGCGGUGAAAUGCAUAGAUAUCGUCAAGAACACCGAUAGCGAAGGCAGCUUACCAAGCUGUAACUGACACUGAGGCACGAAAGUGUGGGGAUCAAACAGGAUUAGAUACCCCCGUAGUCCCUGAGCGGGCUGGCAAGGCGC
Molecule: ribosomal RNA, 465 nt
Filed under: uncultured bacterium
Lineage: Bacteria
Description: bacterial SSU rRNA
Rfam family: Bacterial small subunit ribosomal RNA
Source: RNAcentral